RNAcentral lists this ribosomal RNA (250 nucleotides) under uncultured prokaryote. Its description in RNAcentral is "partial 16S ribosomal RNA". It matches the Rfam family "Bacterial small subunit ribosomal RNA", at positions 524 to 774 of the family's 1533-position model. The record is from RNAcentral.
UACGUAGGUGGCAAGCGUUGUCCGGAAUUAUUGGGCGUAAAGCGCAUGUGGGCGGCGGUUUAAGUCUUUCGUGAAACUGCGGUGCUCAGCCCCGUAUGGCGAUGGAAACUGGAUUGCUUGAGUGCAGGAGAGGAAAGUGGAACUCCCAGUGUAGCGGUGAAAUGCGUAGAUAUUGGGAAGAACACCGGUGGCGAAGGCGCCUUUCUGGACUGUGUCUGGCGCUGAGAUGCGAAAGCCAGGGUAGCGAACG